RNAcentral lists this unclassified non-coding RNA (327 nucleotides) under Actinomucor elegans. RNAcentral's name for it is "partial internal transcribed spacer region". The stretch from base 1 to 46 matches the Rfam family "Eukaryotic small subunit ribosomal RNA", at positions 1786 to 1831 of the family's 1831-position model. The record is from RNAcentral. Lineage: Eukaryota; Fungi; Mucoromycota; Mucoromycetes; Mucorales; Mucoraceae.
AAGUCGUAACAAGGUUUCCGUAGGUGAACCUGCGGAAGGAUCAUUAAAUAAAACUUGAGGGGAAACUGAGCUUACGGGCUUGGUUUUUCUCUUAUUUUUUACCGUGAACUGUCUUAUAGCAUGGCGCUAGUAGAGAUGCCUGAGCCACCAUACGGGGUAGGCGGCACAGGAUGAUUUUAAUCGAAGCCAUGGUCAAGCCGACUUUUUUCAGCUUGGUACCCCAAAAAUUAAUUAUUCUACCAAAUGAAUUCAGUAUUAAUAUUGUAACAUGGGCUCGCUGAAAGGUGGCCUAUAAAACAACUUUUAACAACGGAUCUCUUGGUUCUC